RNAcentral lists this non-coding RNA (24 nucleotides) under Arabidopsis thaliana (thale cress). Lineage: Eukaryota; Viridiplantae; Streptophyta; Magnoliopsida; Brassicales; Brassicaceae. The record is from RNAcentral.
UCCCGCUUCAUCCGGAAAAGGUCC